UACAGGGGGUGCAAACGUUGCUCGGAAUCAUUGGGCGUAAAGCGCACGCAGGCGGUUCGUUAUGUCGGAUGUGAAAGCCCUUGGCUUAACCGAGGAAGUGCAUCCGAAACUGGCGAGCUAGAGUACGAAAGAGGAUCGCGGAAUUCCCGGUGUAGAGGUGAAAUUCGUAGAUAUCGGGAGGAACACCGGUGGCGAAGGCGGCGAUCUGGGUCGAUACUGACGCUGAGGUGCGAAAGCGUGGGGAGCAAACAGG
This 253-nucleotide ribosomal RNA is filed under the name uncultured bacterium. RNAcentral describes it as "partial 16S ribosomal RNA". It matches the Rfam family "Bacterial small subunit ribosomal RNA", at positions 524 to 776 of the family's 1533-position model. The record is from RNAcentral.